Diceros bicornis minor is the source of this 342-nucleotide long non-coding RNA. RefSeq lists it as uncharacterized. The transcript has 3 exons. Lineage: Eukaryota; Metazoa; Chordata; Mammalia; Perissodactyla; Rhinocerotidae. The record is from RefSeq and is a predicted model, not a curated record.
CCCCAUGCCAGUCUCCCUUGACAGCUCUCUCCACUCAUUUUCAGACCAGCUCAAGAGACUGUCCUGCUCUACCCAGAAAGUCUCAUCAUGAUCUUCAGGGCUAAUCUGAUCAGUCUUGCCAGCAUGCGACCUCCUGCUCAGCUUCUCCUCCUCCUCCUGCUUCUCCAGUAUCCAGGAAAAGAAGAGGCCUGGAGAAAUCAACAAGUUUCCCGAAAACUGCACAUCUCAAUAAAGACAGGAUCAGCACUGUCAUCUAGGGAUCCUUAUUCCACACACCAAAGAGACACAAGAACUGCAAUGAAAUUGAAACCCAAGCUCCAGAGUGGGGAAGCAUUCCAUAAA